This 805-nucleotide ribosomal RNA is filed under the name uncultured bacterium. Its description in RNAcentral is "bacterial SSU rRNA". It matches the Rfam family "Bacterial small subunit ribosomal RNA", at positions 8 to 796 of the family's 1533-position model. The record is from RNAcentral.
AGAGUUUGAUCAUGGCUCAGGACGAACGCUGGCGGCAUGCCUAAUACAUGCAAGUCGAACGAGCUGACAGAGUGCUUGCACUCUCAACGCGAGUGGCGGACGGGUGAGUAACACGUGGGAAACCUACCUGUAAGUAGGGGAUAACAUUCGGAAACGGAUGCUAAUACCCUAUAGGUUUCAGUUCCGCAUGGAACUGAAAGGAAAGACGGCUUUGCUGUCGCUUACAGAUGGUCCCGCGGCGCAUUAGCUAGUUGGUGGGAUAAAAGCUCACCAAGGCUGUGAUGCGUAGCCGACCUGAGAGGGUAACCGGCCACACUGGGACUGAGACACGGCCCAGACUCCUACGGGAGGCAGCAGUAGGGAAUCUUCCGCAAUGGACGAAAGUCUGACGGAGCAAUGCCGCGUGAAUGAAGAAGGUCUUCGGAUCGUAAAAUUCUGUUGUUAGAGAAGAACAAGGAGUAGCUAACUACUACUCCCUUGACGGUAUCUAACCAGAAAGCCACGGCUAACUACGUGCCAGCAGCCGCGGUAAUACGUAGGUGGCAAGCGUUGUCCGGAUUUAUUGGGCGUAAAGGGAGCGCAGGCGGUGACCUAAGUCUGAUGUGAAAGCCCACGGCUCAACCGUGGAAGGUCAUUGGAAACUGGGUCACUUGAAUAUAGAAGAGGAAAGUGGAAUUCCAUGUGUAGCGGUGAAAUGCGUAGAUAUAUGGAGGAACACCAGUGGCGAAGGCGACUUUCUGGUCUAUUAUUGACGCUGAGGCUCGAAAGCAUGGGUAGCAAACAGGAUUAGAUACCCUGGUAGUCC